GUCACAUACAUCAAAACAGUUGG
Molecule: non-coding RNA, 23 nt
Filed under: Cricetulus griseus (Chinese hamster)
Lineage: Eukaryota; Metazoa; Chordata; Mammalia; Rodentia; Cricetidae
Source: RNAcentral